This 712-nucleotide long non-coding RNA is filed under the name Rattus norvegicus (Norway rat). Its description in RNAcentral is "long non-coding RNA NONRATT016079". The record is from RNAcentral. Lineage: Eukaryota; Metazoa; Chordata; Mammalia; Rodentia; Muridae.
CUUAAUUUUUUGAUAGGAUCUUGGUAUCUUGUCUAGGCUGGUCUGGAGCUCCUGGGCUCAAACAGUUCCUCAACUUACCAAGUAGCAGAGGCUACAUGCAUCAGCCAUCACACCUGGUCAGUAACAGGAACUCAGCUGUCCUAAGGGAUUUAAAGCUCUUGUCUCUCUCAGAUAUUCUACUCCAAGUCCUACACCAUCUACACGUAUUGUUUCCUGACUUAAUCAGUUCAUAUGAAACAAUAUUAAUAUUUUUCAAGCAUGGCAUUCUGAGUGCGAAGUGCUUUUACCUGUAGAUAGCAGACCAGCCAUGGAAAUGUAGAACUUGCCCUGUUGGUCCAAGAUGGCAACCCCCUAUCCAGUGCAAGCAGGAGUCCAAACUGUCUCUGAAUUUUAAGGCACAUGGACAAGAUUUCCUGAGCACCCAAAAUGUCAGAUUUUUAAAUCUCCAUUUUGUAAUAAGCUGGAAUUCUGAAGUGUUGAUGUGCAUAUUGGGGUUUGAACCCUGGUCUCUCUGGUUUCUCUAUUUUCAUCCCUACAGAGGUUUUUCUCUCCCGAUCCCAGGGCUGCAUUCCCGCCCUUGAUCUGCCACAGGCUAUUUCAGAAUCUUUCUUCUUCCCUGGACACAUUUCCAAUUGAGACUCUUCCUCACCAGGCACAUUGCUGAUGUGAGGCUUUUAAAGUUUCCUCAGAAAAGAAAAACAGAAAGAAAGAA